RNAcentral lists this ribosomal RNA (440 nucleotides) under uncultured bacterium. RNAcentral describes it as "partial 16S ribosomal RNA". It matches the Rfam family "Bacterial small subunit ribosomal RNA", at positions 338 to 795 of the family's 1533-position model. The record is from RNAcentral.
CCUACGGGAGGCAGCAGUAGGGAAUAUUGCUCAAUGAGGGAAACCCUGAAGCAGCAACGCCGCGUGGAGGAUGAAGGUUUUCGGAUUGUAAACUCCUUUUGUUAGAGAAGACAAUGACGGUAUCUAACGAAUAAGCACCGGCUAACUCCGUGCCAGCAGCCGCGGUAAUACGGAGGGUGCAAGCGUUACUCGGAAUCACUGGGGUGAAAGAGCUCGUAGGCGGGAUAGCAAGUCAGAUGUGAAAUCCUAUGGCUUAACCAUAGAACUGCAUUUGAAACUGGUAUUCUAGAGUAUGGGAGAGGUAGGUGGAAUUCUUGGUGUAGGGGUAAAAUCCGUAGAGAUCAAGAGGAAUACUCAUUGCGAAGGCGACCUGCUAGAACAUAACUGACGCUGAGGCGCGAAAGCGUGGGGAGCAAACAGGAUUAGAUACCCCAGUAGUC